RNAcentral lists this ribosomal RNA (260 nucleotides) under uncultured bacterium. RNAcentral describes it as "partial 16S ribosomal RNA". It matches the Rfam family "Bacterial small subunit ribosomal RNA", at positions 29 to 286 of the family's 1533-position model. The record is from RNAcentral.
AUUAACGCUAGCGGCAGGCAUAAUACAUGCAAGUUGAACGGCAGCACAGGUAGCAAUACUGGGUGGCGAGUGGCGCACGGGUGCGUAACACGUAUGCAACCUACCCUAUACAGGCGAAUAACCUUUAGAAAUGAGGGCUAAUACGCCGUAGUAUUACAGAUGGGCAUCUAUUUGUAAUUAAAGAUUUAUCGGUAUAGGAUGGGCAUGCGUCCCAUUAGUUAGUUGGUAAGGUAACGGCUUACCAAGACGAUGAUGGGUAG